Molecule: long non-coding RNA, 470 nt
Filed under: Sus scrofa (pig)
Lineage: Eukaryota; Metazoa; Chordata; Mammalia; Artiodactyla; Suidae
Description: lncRNA (ENSSSCG00030062543.1)
Source: RNAcentral
AUGGGAAGCAUGGAGGGGUCUCAGAAGGACACCAGAGGUGGGCCCGCCAUGGGGUAAAGAUCAGAAGUUUUCUCCCCAGGAGUGGUUUUGAGUCAGACUGUGAUAGUUGCUAUGUUAGUGAUUUAGACAAAGGGCACUGGCAACACCAAACCAUUCAUUGAUUACUGAUUUCAACUGGAAAGUGAACUAAGCCUCAGGGAAGCCCUGCUUGCAACCUAGGCCUUGAAGUAACCUUGGAGUUCCCAUGUGGUGCAACGGAAAUGAAUCUGACUAGGAUCCAUGAGGACAGAGGUUUGAUCCCUGGCCUUGCUCAGAAAGGAAAGGAACACACACCAUCCACCUGAGGCUGCUUCGAUCUGUUCUAGCAAUGAAACCAUGUCCAGCACGUGACUUCCAAUCAACCAGGCCACCAGAUUGAGCAUGGAGCAGGCUGAGGCCAUUUCCCAGGAUCCAUCUGUUUCUGUAGAGGC